GGAGGGUGCAAGCGUUGUUCGGAAUUAUUGGGCGUAAAGAGCGUGUAGGCGGUUCGGUAAGUCAGAUGUGAAAGCCCUGGGCUCAACCCAGGAAGUGCAUUUGAAACUACCAGACUUGAGUACGGGAGAGGAGGGGGGAAUUCCCGGUGUAGAGGUGAAAUUCGUAGAUAUCGGGAGGAAUACCAGUGGCGAAGGCGCCCCUCUGGACCGAUACUGACGCUGAGACGCGAAAGCGUGGGGAGCAAACAGGAUUAGAUACCCUGGGUAGUCCACGCCGUAAACGAUGAGCACUAGGUGUAGCGGGUAUUGACCCCCCCUGCUGUGCCGUAGCUAACGCAUUAAGUGCUCCGCCUGGGGGACUACGGUCGCAAGACUA
This 376-nucleotide ribosomal RNA is filed under the name uncultured organism. RNAcentral's name for it is "partial 16S ribosomal RNA". It matches the Rfam family "Bacterial small subunit ribosomal RNA", at positions 527 to 896 of the family's 1533-position model. The record is from RNAcentral.